CCUCGUAUCUUUACAAUGUUGU
RNAcentral lists this unclassified non-coding RNA (22 nucleotides) under Dictyostelium discoideum. The record is from RNAcentral. Lineage: Eukaryota; Evosea; Eumycetozoa; Dictyosteliales; Dictyosteliaceae.